UAUCCACCUUGUGUGCAAUGUCAGUCGUUUUCUUUAUGGAAUCGACCAAACAUCAACUUAUUUUUUUAACUAUCUGUCUGAAAACUAUUAUGAAUAAAAAAUUCAAAUACAACUUUCAACAACGGAUCUCUUGGCUCUCGCAUCGAUGAAGAACGCAGCGAAAUGCGAUACGUAAUGUGAAUUGCAGAAUUCAGUGAAUCAUCGAAUCUUUGAACGCAUAUUGCGCUCUUUGGUAUUCCGAAGAGCAUGCUUGUUUGAGUAUCAGUAAACACCUCAAAGCCUUCAAUUCAGUUUGGAAGCUUUGGACUUGAGCAAUCCCAACACUAGUCUCGCGACUGGCGGAGGGUUGCUUGAAAUGCAGGUGCAGCUGGACAUUCUCCUGAGCUAUAAGCAUAUUUAUUUAGUCCCGUCAAACGGAUUAUUACUUUUGCUGCAGCUAACAUAAAGGGAGUUUGACCGCAUUGGCUGACUGAUGCAGGAUUUCACAAGGGCUGGUAACAGCUUUCUUGUAAAACUCGAUCUCAAAUCAAGUA
Molecule: ribosomal RNA, 533 nt
Filed under: Mortierella sarnyensis
Lineage: Eukaryota; Fungi; Mortierellomycota; Mortierellomycetes; Mortierellales; Mortierellaceae
Description: eukaryotic LSU rRNA
Rfam family: 5.8S ribosomal RNA (bases 111-264)
Source: RNAcentral